GGGUUGUGAGGUUAAGCGACUAAGCGUACACGGUGGAUGCCCUGGCAGUCAGAGGCGAUGAAGGACGUGCUAAUCUGCGAAAAGCGUCGGUAAGGUGAUAUGAACCGUUAUAGCCGGCGAUGUCCGAAUGGGGAAACCCAGUGCAAUUCGUUGCACUAUCGUUAACUGAAUACAUAGGUUAACGAGGCGAACCGGGGGAACUGAAACAUCUAAGUACCCCGAGGAAAAGAAAUCAACCGAGAUUCCCCCAGUAGCGGCGAGCGAACGGGGAGCAGCCCAGAGUCUGAAUCAGCUUGUGUGUUAGUGGAACGGUCUGGAAAGUCCGACGGUACAGGGUGAUAGUCCCGUACACCAAAAUGCACAGGCUGUGAACUCGAAGAGUAGGGCGGGACACGUGGUAUCCUGUCUGAAUAUGGGGGGACCAUCCUCCAAGGCUAAAUACUCCUGACUGACCGAUAGUGAACCAGUACCGUGAGGGAAAGGCGAAAAGAACCCCGGCGAGGGGAGUGAAAAAGAACCUGAAACCGUGUACGUACAAGCAGUGGGAGCACCUUCGGGUGUGACUGCGUACCUUUUGUAUAAUGGGUCAGCGACUUAUAUUCUGUAGCAAGGUUAACCGUAUAGGGGAGCCGCAGGGAAACCGAGUCUUAACUGGGCGUUAAGUUGCAGGGUAUAGACCCGAAACCCGGUGAUCUAGCCAUGGGCAGGUUGAAGGUUGGGUAACACUAACUGGAGGACCGAACCGACUAAUGUUGAAAAAUUAGCGGAUGACUUGUGGCUGGGGGUGAAAGGCCAAUCAAACCGGGAGAUAGCUGGUUCUCCCCGAAAGCUAUUUAGGUAGCGCCUCGUGAACUCAUCUUCGGGGGUAGAGCACUGUUUCGGCUAGGGGGUCAUCCCGACUUACCAACCCGAUGCAAACUACGAAUACCGAAGAAUGUUAUCACGGGAGACACACGGCGGGUGCUAACGUCCGUCGUGAAGAGGGAAACAACCCAGACCGCCAGCUAAGGUCCCAAAGUCAUGGUUAAGUGGGAAACGAUGUGGGAAGGCACAGACAGCCAGGAUGUUGGCUUAGAAGCAGCCAUCAUUUAAAGAAAGCGUAAUAGCUCACUGGUCGAGUCGGCCUGCGCGGAAGAUGUAACGGGGCUAAACCAUGCACCGAAGCUGCGGCAGCGACACUAUGUGUUGUUGGGUAGGGGAGCGUUCUGUAAGCCUGCGAAGGUGUGCUGUGAGGCAUGCUGGAGGUAUCAGAAGUGCGAAUGCUGACAUAAGUAACGAUAAAGCGGGUGAAAAGCCCGCUCGCCGGAAGACCAAGGGUUCCUGUCCAACGUUAAUCGGGGCAGGGUGAGUCGACCCCUAAGGCGAGGCCGAAAGGCGUAGUCGAUGGGAAACAGGUUAAUAUUCCUGUACUUGGUGUUACUGCGAAGGGGGGACGGAGAAGGCUAUGUUAGCCGGGCGACGGUUGUCCCGGUUUAAGCAUGUAGGCUGGUUAUCCAGGCAAAUCCGGAUAAUCAAGGCUGAGGUGUGAUGACGAGGCACUACGGUGCUGAAGUAACAAAUGCCCUGCUUCCAGGAAAAGCCUCUAAGCAUCAGGUAACAUCAAAUCGUACCCCAAACCGACACAGGUGGUCAGGUAGAGAAUACCAAGGCGCUUGAGAGAACUCGGGUGAAGGAACUAGGCAAAAUGGUGCCGUAACUUCGGGAGAAGGCACGCUGGUGUGUAGGUGAAGCCCCUGCGGGUGGAGCUGAGACCAGUCGAAGAUACCAGCUGGCUGCAACUGUUUAUUAAAAACACAGCACUGUGCAAACACGAAAGUGGACGUAUACGGUGUGACGCCUGCCCGGUGCCGGAAGGUUAAUUGAUGGGGUUAUCCGUAAGGAGAAGCUCUUGAUCGAAGCCCCGGUAAACGGCGGCCGUAACUAUAACGGUCCUAAGGUAGCGAAAUUCCUUGUCGGGUAAGUUCCGACCUGCACGAAUGGCGUAAUGAUGGCCAGGCUGUCUCCACCCGAGACUCAGUGAAAUUGAACUCGCUGUGAAGAUGCAGUGUACCCGCGGCAAGACGGAAAGACCCCGUGAACCUUUACUAUAGCUUGACACUGAACAUUGAGCCUUGAUGUGUAGGAUAGGUGGGAGGCUUUGAAGCGUGGACGCCAGUCUGCGUGGAGCCAACCUUGAAAUACCACCCUUUAAUGUUUGAUGUUCUAACGUUGGCCCCUUAUCGGGGUUGCGGACAGUGUCUGGUGGGUAGUUUGACUGGGGCGGUCUCCUCCCAAAGCGUAACGGAGGAGCACGAAGGUUAGCUAAUCCUGGUCGGACAUCAGGAGGUUAGUGCAAUGGCAUAAGCUAGCUUGACUGCGAGCGUGACGGCGCGAGCAGGUGCGAAAGCAGGUCAUAGUGAUCCGGUGGUUCUGAAUGGAAGGGCCAUCGCUCAACGGAUAAAAGGUACUCCGGGGAUAACAGGCUGAUACCGCCCAAGAGUUCAUAUCGACGGCGGUGUUUGGCACCUCGAUGUCGGCUCAUCACAUCCUGGGGCUGAAGUAGGUCCCAAGGGUAUGGCUGUUCGCCAUUUAAAGUGGUACGCGAGCUGGGUUUAGAACGUCGUGAGACAGUUCGGUCCCUAUCUGCCGUGGGCGCUGGAGAAUUGAGGGGGGCUGCUCCUAGUACGAGAGGACCGGAGUGGACGCAUCACUGGUGUUCGGGUUGUCAUGCCAAUGGCACUGCCCGGUAGCUAAAUGCGGAAGAGAUAAGUGCUGAAAGCAUCUAAGCACGAAACUUGCCCCGAGAUGAGUUCUCCCUGAGACUUUAAGUCUCCUGAAGGAACGUUAAAGACGAUGACGUUGAUAGGCCGGGUGUGUAAGCGCAGCGAUGCGUUGAGCUAACCGGUACUAAUGAACCGUGAGGCUUAACCUUACAACGCCGAAG
Molecule: ribosomal RNA, 2923 nt
Filed under: Klebsiella pneumoniae
Lineage: Bacteria; Pseudomonadati; Pseudomonadota; Gammaproteobacteria; Enterobacterales; Enterobacteriaceae
Description: bacterial LSU rRNA
Rfam family: Bacterial large subunit ribosomal RNA
Source: RNAcentral